AUACUUAAGUGGCUUGGGAGACACCACAAUAACGCAAUUGUGUGUCACAAUAAGUGUGAGGCUUAUCUUCUGAACUCCAGGUGUGCUGACACUUUAGAUUUCCCCAAAGGCAUGAAACUCCACAACAUACUUUGUGGUAGUAGGAGACUAUAUUUAUGCUCUCACCUU
This 168-nucleotide small nuclear RNA is filed under the name Chrysolophus pictus (golden pheasant). RNAcentral's name for it is "U1 spliceosomal RNA (ENSCPIG00010012704.1)". It matches the Rfam family "U1 spliceosomal RNA". Rfam says of the family: U1 is a small nuclear RNA (snRNA) component of the spliceosome (involved in pre-mRNA splicing). Its 5' end forms complementary base pairs with the 5' splice junction, thus defining the 5' donor site of an intron. The record is from RNAcentral. Lineage: Eukaryota; Metazoa; Chordata; Aves; Galliformes; Phasianidae.